CUUUCCACUGACCAGGACCCCCAGGUCCCUUUCCGUGGCACUGCUUUCCAGCCUCUCGUUCCCCAGUCUGUCCGUACAUGCAGGGAUGGCCUGGAUGUUCCAGGUGCAGAAUCUGGCACUUUCCCUGGCUGAACUACUGAAUGCUGGACAUUUUGUCCAGAAGGAUACUACGAGAGACAGUAUCAAAAGCUUUACCGAAAUCCAAAAAUAUUACAUCAACUGGCUUCCCUUGAUCAAAUAGGUGGGUUACCAGGAACUGUCCCCUCGGGUCCAGCAGCUCUCCAUGAGCAGAUUUCUACAGCACCAGCAGGAGAGAAGCUGUAAUCUUCCAGAAGUCUCCAGACUUGCCUGACAAACACAACACUCACUAGUUUUUAUAUGUAAGCCCCAAAUAAAAAUGUGGGACACAGUGCAUGAAACAAAAAGCAUUCGCACCAAAUCCCUAGCCAGCUAGAAGGAAUGCUUUUACAGAACAGUGUCACAACAGCUGGCUGUCACAAAAACAACCUGUCUUUUUAACAGCCAUCUCAGAUGCUGGAGGUAUUCUGUAUGUUGCAGUUAAUAGAGACUCGAGAGAGCUAACAAAAAGCUUUUAUUUUUUCCACUGAUGGCCCAACACAAUCACAGACAUAAUUUCUCAUCAGAUCAUGCUGUGAAGCUUAUCUCUUAAAAGGAUUCCCUGAAGAAACGCAACAAAAAGUUCAGCUCUGAGAUGCACUACACUGAAAACUGACUUCCUGAGAAAGAUGGAGAUUUGGUUUGGUUUGUAGAUUUUCAUUAUUGUGAUCAUCUCUCCAUAGUACUGGAUUUCAUGAUAAAAGCUGGUUUAUAAACGAUUUCACAUUAAUGCAAAAUGCAGUAGGUAUGAUUAGUAAUCUAAGACAGGGCGUCAGAUCCAAAGAAGGAUUUGCAUGGAUUUUAGGUAUGACAUUACGCUUUCAAGAGAUUGAAUGUUUAAUUGAAACACUGUUUAGAUUCACAGCACUUUCUCAUUCUCUCCUUCAAGGUGUGUUUGCACAAUUGUUUGCCAGGAUGUUGUGAACUAGAUCAAAGAACUGGUCUAGCUUUAAAAAACUGAAGUUUUUGUGUUUCACAGAGAGCAGGAAUAAUCAUAGGAUUUUACUGCUUUUAUGUUGUUGAUACAUGGCAUACAUCAGAAAAUGUCUUCCAGAAAAUUACUGAGCACUUUGUACAUGUGCCCAGAAUUCUGCCAGACCAGAACAGGAGAGUAAGCUCCUGUCUUUGCUGACACUCAGAAGUGGGUGGAUGAGUGCCGAAAUCUCCUGGGGACUUCAGACCAGCCAAAAUUCACAGAGAGAUGCUGUAGAUGUGUUGGUGUAACAGUCUGAUGGUCAACAGCCUCACCCAGUUAGUGUGAGGCUAGAUUUGCUUCAGCCCAGGCAGACUGAAAUCUCUUUCUCACCUCUCAAGAGAAUGGUACGUUCAAUAGGGAAAAGAUGGAUUCUUAAAGGAAAUUGGGUUGAUGUGCAGGCAAGAAUGUAAGAGCCAUGGAGCUAGACAGACAGUGAGGCAGAAAAGGAUGUUAUUCUGUGGAAAAAGAAGGUCAGCCUUAUCAAUGAGGGUUACAUUCUUUACAUAAAACUGGUUGCACUAAAAAACAAGGGAGUAAUACAACAAGCAAAUCCUCAAAUCAUGAAUUCUUCCCAUCUCAGCUGGGGCUGUGGGGUUGGGCAUGAGGGCUUUAGCCUCAUGUGGGUUUCAGCAAUACAGUGUCCAACCCCUUGUGUUUUUAAGCUCAUAAACUAAUCUCAUUUGUUACUGUUUUGAUGCUUUAAACUCUGAUACUCUGAUAUCCUUUGAUAAUCAAUGGUUUUGCAACAGUAUUUUGGCAAACGGUUACUAUGUGAGUUGAGAAAUACACUGUCCUGGGCUGAGGUAAAUCACCUAGCUGAACAUGCAAAAAAAGAUCAGCAAAUGCAGUUUAUAACAGCAGCUUAUAUAAUGUCUGAAACCUUGGAAAAGCAAUUAUAGUCAUGACAGAACCUUUUUUUACAAAUUAAGUUUACUUGCAGGUCUCAAGGUUCAGAAAUCUUUUCUGUACACAGAUUUUUACAUUAUCAGUGUGCCAUGGUGGGGUACAACUUUUUACGAAAAGUAUUUCUUCCUGCUGAGAAGACACAAACCCCGAGCCAUGACCACGCCAGUUUGCUGAGUUUGCAGAUAUGUAUGGGUAGUAUAAAGUUGUGACUGUAAGGAAUUCUCUAAAAGAGAAAAACAGAAUCUGAAAAUAGGAAUUUAGAAACUAUUUGAAAUAAGCAGUGUAUUGCCAUCAAACUUCCUUUUAUUCCAAAGGUCAUCCUAUUACAAUGUUGUUUAGUCUCUUUGGAAAGGAGACACUUUCAGAUAUAUUCUUUAGUUUUCUGGUCCCCAUAUAACAUUCCUUCUCCAGCCAUUUUUUCUUAACAUUCAUUUAUCUGAAUGUGCCUAUCUCUGAGCUCUCAAUACAGUUUUAGUUAUUUCUAAUCCUUCCAGUGUUUGAUUUGGGCUCUCCUUUAUAUGUACAGAUCCUGAUUAGAUCCUACUCCAAUAUCUCAACAAAAGUCACCUCUCGUAUACACAACCUCUCCUUGAUUGGAUGCUGCUAUAUAGUACUCUUAUUCCAGAGUGUCCUGGUCUGCAGUGAGACUUUUAGCCUAUUACUUACCUUCUGCUGCAGUUAUCUGAAGCUGUAAACUGGGACAUCACUAUUGACCUCCAUGUAAAAUCCUUUUGAAAUGAAAGUAGCAUCAGAAUUUAUUGAUAGGGAAUGUACUGGCACCGUGCAUUUAAUCCUACUGGUCAAGUGUUAAGAGAUAAAUUGCUUAAAAAGUAGGAAGAGUUACAGUCUUAGCACUGGAGAAGGGUGUGGAUGAUGGUGAUGGCAGAAAGAAGCUGACAAACUGUGAGAUGAAGCAUUCCUUUCCUUACAGGAAGACUGGAAGCAGUACAGCUAAGGUUUCUAAGACAUCACAUCACAGGCAGUUUCAAUCCCAUUACUAAUGGUUACUAAUGUAACCAUUUGAGCUCACAUUUUGCAUAAUUUGACUCUCAUUCUAUAUAUAUGAAUUCCAGCAAACCCACUGCAGUCCUAUUGAAAAUGCAAUUUUAAGAAACACUUUUUUUGAAGUUAAAUUUUUCUCUCUAUUUUUAAAAUCUACAACUUUUUUAUGCUUUAGAGCAGGGACUCAGUUUUUGGCAGGAGAACAGCUCCUUUCUGGUUUUCCUUUGGCUGUCAAAAUGAAGAUCUAACAAGAGUUGACUGAAACAGACUCUGGUAGAGUCAGCAGCAACAUAUGUGAAAGAAAACGUGCUGCUAAAUCCAGUGUGCCCCAAUGGCUGCGUCUGCAGCCAUGAAAUAGAGGGUUGUGCCCUGACCUCUGUGCAGGUGCAGGAGUGAGGGUCAGGCAACACAUUUAAAUGCAUUGUUCUAAAAUUCAGGGCCCAGCACAUGCUAAAAGCCAGUGGCAGUGCAAAAUGGGGAGCAGAGGGGGAAAGAAGACUUUUAUUAUUGCACCAUUUGGAUUUUUUACAUUUGUGUACUUGCAAAGAUGCUUUUCCAGGUUACAGUCCUUAUGAAGUCCUUGUUACCCUUAAAAGUUAUAAUCAGUUGGUUACAACAUCUGGCAGCAUGAAAAUCAAGGACUUGGCACAACACUACCCAUGACAUUCCAGGGAUACCAGGGAUGCUCUUCAUACACUGUAUCUUCAAACAAAUGUAUGCCAAUGCAGAGCUGUUUGUCUGUCUGCCAAACAGAAACCUCCUCAAGUGCUGCAGGACUGUACCAUGAGGAAUGGGCAACUUUGAGAAGGAAAUUGGGCCACAUUAAUUCCCUGUGCAAUGGCAAAAUACGCUCAGAGAGUGCCUGAAGUUGACUGACACAACAUGCCAAGCAUGUGGAAGUUGAAAAUCAGCACUUUCCAUUGCUGGGAAAGAGGAUGUAGCCGCAGCACGCUGCCAUUUGUAUUUGCUUCCUUGCUUAUUUCUUUCUGUAUCUGUUCUUCAAAAGUCCUACAUCCACCCAUGUAGAUGGAUGGGGUUUUCUAAAUCUAUUUUGUUCUGCUGUAUAUUAAAAUCUGCUGCAUUUUAAAAUUGAUCCUCUGUGAAAUGUUUUCUAGAGCUUCCUCUAGAAAUUUUUGCAAUUCCCUGACAAGCAGCAUACUGGCCAGGGUGAUAAUAUUAAAUAAAACAUUAAACGCUCUUGAAAA
Corvus hawaiiensis (hawaiian crow) is the source of this 4206-nucleotide long non-coding RNA. RefSeq lists it as uncharacterized. The record is from RefSeq and is a predicted model, not a curated record. Lineage: Eukaryota; Metazoa; Chordata; Aves; Passeriformes; Corvidae. The transcript is spliced from 2 exons.